UACGUAGGGUGCAAACGUUGUUCGGAAUUACUGGGCGUAAAGGGCGCGUAGGCGGCCUGCUAAGUCGGAUGUGAAAUCCCUCGGCUCAACCGAGGAACUGCAUCCGAUACUGGCGGGCUUGAAUCCGGGAGAGGGAUGUGGAAUUCCAGGUGUAGCGGUGAAAUGCGUAGAUAUCUGGAGGAACACCGGUGGCGAAGGCGGCAUCCUGGACCGGUAUUGACGCUGAGGCGCGAAAGCUAGGGGAGCAAACGGG
This 253-nucleotide ribosomal RNA is filed under the name uncultured bacterium. Its description in RNAcentral is "partial 16S ribosomal RNA". It matches the Rfam family "Bacterial small subunit ribosomal RNA", at positions 524 to 776 of the family's 1533-position model. The record is from RNAcentral.